GGCGAGGUGGCCGAGUGGUUAAGGCGAUAGACUAGAAUCUGGCUUCGGCCUCUUUCCAGACAAUCUAUUGGGUUCGCCCGCGUAGGUUCAAAUCCUGCCCUCGUCG
Molecule: transfer RNA, 106 nt
Filed under: Plectosphaerella plurivora
Lineage: Eukaryota; Fungi; Ascomycota; Sordariomycetes; Glomerellales; Plectosphaerellaceae
Description: Plectosporium sp. AC-2010b tRNA
Rfam family: tRNA
About the family: Transfer RNA (tRNA) molecules are approximately 80 nucleotides in length.
Source: Rfam by way of RNAcentral